This 431-nucleotide ribosomal RNA is filed under the name uncultured bacterium. Its description in RNAcentral is "bacterial SSU rRNA". It matches the Rfam family "Bacterial small subunit ribosomal RNA", at positions 343 to 791 of the family's 1533-position model. The record is from RNAcentral.
UGGAGGCAGCAGUGGGGAAUAUUGGACAAUGGGGGCAACCCUGAUCCAGCCAUGCCGCGUGAGUGAUGAAGGCCUUCGGGUUGUAAAGCUCUUUUGGCGGGGACGAUGAUGACGGUACCCGCAGAAUAAGCCCCGGCUAACUUCGUGCCAGCAGCCGCGGUAAGACGAAGGGGGCAAGCGUUGUUCGGAAUUACUGGGCGUAAAGCGCGUGUAGGUGGUUGCACGAGUCAGGCGUGAAAGCCUCGAGCUCAACUCGAGAGAUGCGCUUGAUACUGUGCGGCUAGAGGACCGGAGAGGAUAGUGGAAUUCCCAGUGUAGUGGUGAAAUACGUAGAGAUUGGGAAGGACACCAGUGGCGAAGGCGGCUAUCUGGACGGUUUCUGACACUAAGACGCGAAAGCGUGGGGAGCAAACAGGAUUAGAUACCCCGGU